This 497-nucleotide ribosomal RNA is filed under the name uncultured bacterium. RNAcentral's name for it is "partial 16S ribosomal RNA". It matches the Rfam family "Bacterial small subunit ribosomal RNA", at positions 28 to 507 of the family's 1533-position model. The record is from RNAcentral.
GAUGAACGCUGGCGGCGUGCCUAAUACAUGCAAGUCGAGCGAACAGACGAGGAGCUUGCUCCUCUGACGUUAGCGGCGGACGGGUGAGUAACACGUGGAUAACCUACCUAUAAGACUGGGAUAACUUCGGGAAACCGGAGCUAAUACCGGAUAAUAUAUUGAACCGCAUGGUUCAAUAGUGAAAGACGGUUUUGCUGUCACUUAUAGAUGGAUCCGCGCCGCAUUAGCUAGUUGGUAAGGUAACGGCUUACCAAGGCAACGAUGCGUAGCCGACCUGAGAGGGUGAUCGGCCACACUGGAACUGAGACACGGUCCAGACUCCUACGGGAGGCAGCAGUAGGGAAUCGUCCGCAAUGGGCGGAAGCCUGACGGAGCAACGCCGCGUGAGUGAUGAAGGUCUUCGGAUCGUAAAACUCUGUUAUUAGGGAAGAACAAAUGUGUAAGUAACUAUGCACGUCUUGACGGUACCUAAUCAGAAAGCCACGGCUAACUACGUG